RNAcentral lists this long non-coding RNA (1288 nucleotides) under Venturia canescens. Its description in RNAcentral is "uncharacterized LOC122411994, transcript variant X1". The record is from RNAcentral. Lineage: Eukaryota; Metazoa; Arthropoda; Insecta; Hymenoptera; Ichneumonidae.
UUUAUCGUUGGAAACGAGCUCGAGACUUUAUUUCGUAUUCUUUACUAUACUAACAACUUAUUUUAUUUAAUACGUUAUUCGCUCGCGUCGCGCCGUCUUGCGAGAGGAUGGUGACAACAUAGAAAUUCCCCGCGGACUGCGAAUCUGUCAGAGUACAAUUCUUCAUUUUUUUCGUGGAAAUAAAUCUAUGACGAAAGGUUAAUAUGAGAAACUGGGGAAAAACGGGGUUUUCCUUACUCUCUCGAACACCAACGAAUGUAUUGUUGAGGCAUGGAGGAGCUCUCCUCAAAAACUGGUGGGGGUUCUCUUUUACUACGCUUCAAUCCAACGCACCUCGGUUGCCUCGAGUUCUGUCAAAAAGCAGUCCAAAAAUAUGGAAUUUCCUGGAAGAAUAUAAUAAAACGCAGGAAGAAUGGAAAAACAGACAAUUUCCGCAAAUUUUGAAGCCCCCGUUUCGCUCGGAUCUCCUCUAUAUAUCGACAAAAUAGUGAAACUGAAGUUGCUAUAUCGUUACGAGUUUGUAUAAUUUUUGCUUCUUGCCUAACGUCAUUAAGAAAAUUUCAAGUCAAAUCUAGACAAAAACUAUUUGAGGGUCACCGCUUAAAAAAUGUACACGAAAUCAUAAACUCGGAAAGUCAACGGAUCAUUCGUGGAAAAAUGCUAACGCGGAGGAAGUGUAACUGGCAAGUAGAACGGUGGUGAUGGAGACUCGGUAGAGUCUCGGGACAGUUACAUCGACAGCCCUGUCGUUUGCCGGCCCAAACUAUACUUAUAUUUACCACUCGGGAUUCACGAGUUAACGAUAUAAACAACUGACAGGGCUCGAGAAUAUAUACCGAGUUCCGAAGUUUCUCGCGAGGGCUGCGCCACAUGAGUUGUACAGUGAACGUAUAUAAAAAAACCUUGUAUUUAUCAUCAUUUUUUUCCGUUGCCCAUAAAAUUGUUUUUACAGAGAUAAAGAGGCUCGAUAUCGCAUGAAUCCCUUAGUUUUUUCGUAGUGAUUAGAGUAACAUGCAGUGCAUUUAGUUUCAUGGAAAUCGAACUGAUGUAUUAGACAUCGGGAAUAACGUUUCAUUGAAAAUUUCAUUCGAUUCGAAAUUCGAUGAACAAUAACCUCAAAAAUGCUCCUCGUUAUGCUGAUUGCAUUAUUCAUUCAAAUAAAAUCCAAUCGAGAUGCCGUCGAAAUUCUAAUAAGUAAUAAAAUUGAAAAGUAAUGAUAGUGUGCAGUGAAUUAUGUUAUCCAAUAUGUUUAUAAUGGUGCGAAUAAAUUUUGUGCAUGACAAAAUGA